UUUCGUUGUUGUUGUUGUUGUACUUUUCGAGUUUUACGUUUUAGUUCGUUGGGCCUGGCUGGCUGCCCGCUGACUCAAUGACCAGAUGCUGGCUCGCGGCGGCGUUGAUUGAGUUGCACCUGCCAUUCGCAGAAAACAAUUUAUAAUACCCUUCCACCUUUUGAGUACCGGGUAUAACAAGCCGAACGGCUUCUGCCAGGGACACACACAACUGGCAACGCCACUGACACUGGCGACUGUCUCUGUAACUGCCACUGCCACUACUGCUGAUGAUGCCACAGUCUGGGGGCAAGCAGCAAGGCAAAGCAGCGCGGCAGCUACUUGAUGACCGACGCCUGACGAUGGUCGAUGGUCGAUGGACGCGUUAUUUAUGUGGAUUUUUCGGCUCACACAAAGUCCAAGAGUUGGCAGAGUCUCUCGAUGUCGUCGUCGUCUGUCGUUGACAUUUGCCUGAAUUUCAAUUUGAUGCAAGCUCAAUCCUGAUGCCUACCGACUGCCGCCUGCUGCCUGCGGCUGUUGCACAUAAAUCUCAGCUUCCCAAUCGGAUUGUUGAUUAUGUAAUUUACUUGAAUUUGCAUCUCAGAUUCACAAAUAAUUAGCAGAUGCACUCAGGCGUCUCUGAUUAUGGCUGCCAACCGAGUGAAGCGAAUGUUCCUGAACUGAACCUGAGAAGGAAAAUGUCACGAAAAUCAUUUUUCGCUUCUUUGAUUUUGUGCUCUGGCUUAUUUUCUGAUUAUGUUUAAUUAACAUCAAUAUAUUCAUUUGCGUAUUUCU
This is a long non-coding RNA of Drosophila nasuta, 774 nucleotides long. RefSeq lists it as uncharacterized. The record is from RefSeq and is a predicted model, not a curated record. Lineage: Eukaryota; Metazoa; Arthropoda; Insecta; Diptera; Drosophilidae. The transcript is spliced from 3 exons.